Molecule: non-coding RNA, 72 nt
Organism: Quaeritorhiza haematococci
Lineage: Eukaryota; Fungi; Chytridiomycota; Chytridiomycetes; Quaeritorhizaceae
Source: the annotation of a GenBank genome assembly
GGGCGUUUGGCGCAGUGGUAGCGCGUCUGCUUUGCAUGCAGAAGGCCGAGGGUUCGAACCCCUCAACGUCCA